GAAAAGUAAACUUUGUAAACAAGUUCAGGAUGACAGAUUCUGAUGGGAGAAAUCAGACUGUUCUUGAUAGGUCUGGCAGGAGAGCCAGAUAAGAAGGCAAAGCAAAUAUUUACUUAGGAAUAGAUAAAGAAAAGAGAGAACCCAGUAAGCAUUAGGGAAAUGCCUGCAUCAAUCAGAUUCAUGUCAGAGUUUUGGGGUGGUAUUUUCUAUCAGGUUCCCUGCUAGAUGUUAGUGAUAAAAUCAUGACCUUGUCCUGCUCUCCAAUUGUUCAAGUGAAGACAAUUAACCGUAGUACAAGCCAGCUUGUGGUGAUACUCAGUUUUGGCCUUGGGAAUGAAUUCCCUCUGUUGACUCCAUAAGAUGUGAGGAAUGUGUGAAAAGACUUGAGUUCUGGUGUGUUCUGAAGCGUGAAGACCUAACAGGUAACCUUCAGCUCUACUUGGCUUUCUCAUUCUUCCUGAUGUUCCUGGGAAUUUUAGAAAUUCCUCUGGUGGUUUCAGUAACAUUCUAAUAAAAACUUAUGAGACCAGUCAUUUAACAGAGGACCAUUAUGGCUAAUUAUAAAGUAAAAUAUUGACUAGCAUAAUGUAUUAUAGAUUAAAUCUUUAUAUUACAUUUUUAUUAUAAAAUACUACUGGUUGAGUAUCUAUAAUGUGUCAGCUAAUGGGAUAAACAUUUUAAAUGUAAAAGAUUAAUACAAAGAUGUAAAUGGAAGAGCUUGUGGG
This 725-nucleotide long non-coding RNA is filed under the name Callithrix jacchus (white-tufted-ear marmoset). Its description in RNAcentral is "lncRNA (ENSCJAG00000074058.1)". The record is from RNAcentral. Lineage: Eukaryota; Metazoa; Chordata; Mammalia; Primates; Cebidae.